This 100-nucleotide ribosomal RNA is filed under the name Colwellia sp. MB02u-10. RNAcentral describes it as "partial 23S ribosomal RNA". It matches the Rfam family "Bacterial large subunit ribosomal RNA", at positions 1 to 93 of the family's 2925-position model. Lineage: Bacteria; Pseudomonadati; Pseudomonadota; Gammaproteobacteria; Alteromonadales; Colwelliaceae. The record is from RNAcentral.
GUUGUAUGGUUAAGUGACUAAGCGUAUGUGGUGGAUGCCUUGGCAGUUAGAGGCGAUGAAGGACGUGUUAAUCUGCGAAAAGCUUUGGUAAGGUGAUAAA